UAGGGAAUAUUGCAAAAUGGGCGAAAGCCCGAUGCAGCAACGCCGCGUGGGCGAUGAAGGCCUUCGGGUCGUAAAGCCCUUUUUGAGGGGAUGAGGAAGGACAGUACCCUCAGAAUAAGCCUCGGCUAACUACGUGCCAGCAGCCGCGGUAAAACGUAGGAGGCGAGCGUUAUCCGGAUUUACUGGGCGUAAAGCGCGUGCAGGCGGAUUGGAGAGUUGGAUGUGAAAGCUCCCGGCUUAACUGGGAGAGGUCGGUCAAUACUUCCAGUCUUGAGUGCAGUAGAGGGAAGUGGAAUUCCGGGUGUAGUGGUGAAAUGCGUAGAUAUCCGGAGGAACACCAGUGGCGAAAGCGGCUUCCUGGACUGUAACUGACGCUCAGACGCGAAAGCUAGGGUAGCAAACG
RNAcentral lists this ribosomal RNA (403 nucleotides) under uncultured bacterium. RNAcentral's name for it is "bacterial SSU rRNA". It matches the Rfam family "Bacterial small subunit ribosomal RNA", at positions 355 to 774 of the family's 1533-position model. The record is from RNAcentral.